AUUGAACGCUGGCGGCAUGCCUUACACAUGCAAGUCGAACGGUAACAGGUCUUCGGAUGCUGACGAGUGGCGAACGGGUGAGUAAUACAUCGGAACGUGCCUAGUAGUGGGGGAUAACUACUCGAAAGAGUGGCUAAUACCGCAUGAGAUCUACGGAUGACAGCAGGGGAUCGCAAGACCUUGUGCUACUAGAGCGGCCGAUGGCAGAUUAGGUAGUUGGUGGGAUAAAAGCUUACCAAGCCGACGAUCUGUAGCUGGUCUGAGAGGACGAUCAGCCACACUGGGACUGUGACACGGCCCAGACUCCUACGGGAGGCAGCAGUGGGGAAUUUUGGACAAUGGGCGAAAGCCUGAUCCAGCAAUGCCGCGUGCAGGAUGAAGGCCUUCGGGUUGUAAACUGCUUUUGUACGGAACGAAAAGCCCCGGGUUAAUACCCUGGGGUCAUGACGGUACCGUAAGAAUAAGCACCGGCUAACUACGUGCCAGCAGCCGCAGUAA
This 498-nucleotide ribosomal RNA is filed under the name uncultured bacterium. RNAcentral describes it as "partial 16S ribosomal RNA". It matches the Rfam family "Bacterial small subunit ribosomal RNA", at positions 30 to 523 of the family's 1533-position model. The record is from RNAcentral.